GUCCAGACUCCUACGGGAGGCAGCAGUGGGGAAUAUUGCACAAUGGGGGAAACCCUGAUGCAGCGACGCCGCGUGAGCGAUGAAGUAUUUCGGUAUGUAAAGCUCUAUCAGCAGGGAAGAAAAUGACGGUACCUGACUAAGAAGCCCCGGCUAACUACGUGCCAGCAGCCGCGGUAAUACGUAGGGGGCAAGCGUUAUCCGGAUUUACUGGGUGUAAAGGGAGCGUAGACGGCAAUGCAAGCCAGAUGUGAAAGCCCGGGGCUCAACCCCGGGACUGCAUUUGGAACUGUGUAGCUGGAGUGUCGGAGAGGCAGGCGGAAUUCCUAGUGUAGCGGUGAAAUGCGUAGAUAUUAGGAGGAACACCAGCGGCGAAGGCGGCCUGCUGGACGAUGACUGACGUUGAGGCUCGAAAGCGUGGGGAGCAAACAGGAUUAGAUACCCUUGUAU
RNAcentral lists this ribosomal RNA (447 nucleotides) under uncultured bacterium. RNAcentral's name for it is "bacterial SSU rRNA". It matches the Rfam family "Bacterial small subunit ribosomal RNA", at positions 329 to 793 of the family's 1533-position model. The record is from RNAcentral.